RNAcentral lists this long non-coding RNA (2624 nucleotides) under Triticum aestivum (bread wheat). RNAcentral's name for it is "long non-coding RNA (TAES_LNC022325)". The record is from RNAcentral. Lineage: Eukaryota; Viridiplantae; Streptophyta; Magnoliopsida; Poales; Poaceae.
UGAUUCUGGAGGAUCCACCGCUGGAUUCCUUCCUCGUCGACUCCAGCAAGACCCGUCGGAGUUGUUUCAACGACCACCCAUGUCACCUCUCCGCUCCUUCCCUGCUCCUCUUGACCUCUUCCUUCCUUCUCCUGCCAACCUUACCUCGUUUACCCUCUAUUUCUUCCUGCACAGGGAGCGCUAUGGCAUUUGCUUCAAGCUUCCGUGCCGCCCGGAGCUCCUCGACGCCGUCCGGAUCCGACGCCCUGGAAACCCCCGACCCCGCCGCCCUCCCAUCCAGAUCCGGCCUCCUCUCCUUCGCUUGCCGCGCCGCGGUUGCUAGCUGUCGGUCCCCUACCUUACCUGAAGCCGCCGUGACCGGAUCCAGUCUCUGCAUCGAGCAGAGAAGGGCGACGCUGCCUGCCGUGUGCCUUCUCGUCGCGUGCGUGGGCUGCAAGGGCGCCAAGGCCCAACUAGCAUUCCCAGCCGCCCAGCGCGGCCGAGCCGCUUCACCAACGGGCCGAAGCCCAUGGGUGAGCUGACCCCCCAGUGCCUACUCUGUUCGGCCUGUGUUCAGAUUCGGCCCAAUUGUUUUUUCUCUGUCCAGUGAAUUCUGUAAUUAUCGAGAGAAAACCUGUUUUACAGAUUGCACCCUCAAGUUGAUGCAUAUAAUAACUUCAUAACCGUGCAUCGGAUUAAAACAACUUUAUAUGUAAAAUGUUUAGGAUUUCAUCUACUUACACAAUAUCCAACUUCCAUCCAUGUUUAAAAUAGUUAAACUUGCUGUUUGUAUUAAUUUGCUUAAAUGACAUGUUAAAAUGGUUUGUUCCAUGUCUAAGUAACCGUAGCUUUGAAUUAAUUAAACUAUAUAUGUAAAUGGGAUAUAAAAAUGCAUAGUUUGACAUGGUGCACUUUAUUUCCCUGUGUUAACAACAUUAAAAUAUUAUUAUAGGCAAAUAGUGUCAAAUUCAAAAUAUGCACAUGAGGAUUUUUCGGAAUUGUUGUUUGUUAUUUCCGGUCUCAUUUAAACUUGGCUAGAUAGGUAGAUUCAUUUUGCUUCACCUCUUGCCAUGUUAAGAAUAUUUAAACAUGUUGAGUUCAUUGAGAGUGAACUAAAUACUUGAAUGUGGUGAUUCGUUAAUAUGCAACUCGUUGCAUAGUGAGCACCGCUUAAUUUGUAGUAUUGUUUGUUGCACUUUGCCAUGCCAUGCAUAUUUAAACCGGACAUGCAUCAUACUUGAUUGUGCAUCAUGCCAUAUUUAUGCUUGAGUGUUUACCAUGUCGUUUGCUUCUUUCUGGUGUUGCUUCUUAGUUCGGGUAACAUUGCGGAUUGUGAGGAUUCGUUUGACUACGUUGGUUCGUCUACUUCAUGGACUCGGUCAUCUUCCUAACGGGAUUUCAGCUAAGAUGAUCAUCACCUUGGAUCUCACUACUAUAUUUGCUAUUCUAGUUGUCUUGAUGCUAUCGCUAUGUCGCGCAACCCCCCACUUGUUUAUCAAGCCUCCCAAUAUGCCAUGAAACAACCUCUAACCUUUCCACCAUCCCAGCAAACCAUUGUUUGGCUAUGUUACCAUUUUGCUCAGCCUCUCUUAUAGCGUUGCUAGUUGCACGCGCGGUUGUAGAUUGUUCCAUGUUGGAAAAUGGAUAUCUUGGAAUAUCACAAUAUCUCUUAUUUAAUUAAAACACAUAUAUACUUGGUAAAGGAUGGAAGGCCCGGCCUUUUGGUGGUGUUUUGUUCCACUCUUGCCGCCCUAGUUUUCGUUAAAUCGGUGUUAUGUUUCCUUGAAUUUUGCGUUCCUAACGUGGUCAGGCUUAAUGGGACCCCCUUGUUUCUUUGUCUAAAGUAAAGCUUUCUCGAGGAGAUCCAACAUUGGUUUUACCAUUUGCCUAAUAAUAAGUAAAACCUGCAUAGGGACUUCCCGGGCCUCGAGGAUAAUUAAUCAACAACCCCUGGGCCAGUGCUCGACAUGAGUGUUGGCCCACCUACCUAGCAGUCGGCGGUGCCACCUCGGGGCAACUCGAUGGUAUUUUGGCUAUCGUCCACUUUGCAUAGACGGAUGAGUCUGUAGAUAGAGAGCGUACGGCUCUGGACACGGAUCUGACUCACCGGGAGAUCUCCUUGGGAUUAUUUUCCUUUCUUCGAAGAGCUUGUGCACUGAUUCCGAGCUUGCUAGGGUUGUCCCGUGAUGGAGGAUUGUCUCUGCAGAUCGUGAGAGCUUAUCAUGGGCUAAGUUGGGACACCCCCACAGGGUUUAAUCUUUCGAAAGUUGUGCCCGCGGUUAUGUGGCAAAUGGGAGUUUUUAAUAUCUAGUUGUAGAGAACUUGACACCAGAUCCGAAAUACAAUACACCAAUCGCAUGUGUAACCGUGACCGUCUCCUUUCGAGCAAGUUCGGGAAAGAACACGAUGGGGUUAUGUUUGACUCAUAAGUAGUUCAGGAUCACUUCUUGAUCAUUACUAUUUUGCCACCGUUUGCGUAGUUUCACAUCUUAUUCUUGUACUCGUAAGUUCACCACCAUACAAUGCUUAGUGCUGCUAUAGCCUCACCACAUAUCCAUUCCAUACUCAUUACGCUCUGCUAGUCUUGAUACCCAUGGUAAUGGGUUUGCUGAGUCCUCGUGGCUCACAGAUUACUACAACAAUAG